Molecule: ribosomal RNA, 473 nt
Filed under: uncultured organism
Description: partial 16S ribosomal RNA
Rfam family: Bacterial small subunit ribosomal RNA
Source: RNAcentral
UACACUCCUGCGGGAGGCAGCAGUGGGGAAUUUUGGACAAUGGGCGAAAGCCUGAUCCAGCAAUGCCGCGUGAGUGAAGAAGGCCUUCGGGUUGUAAAGCUCUUUUGUCAGGGAAGAAACGGUGAGAGCUAAUAUCUCUUGCUAAUGACGGUACCUGAAGAAUAAGCACCGGCUAACUACGUGCCAGCAGCCGCGGUAAUACGUAGGGUGCAAGCGUUAAUCGGAAUUACUGGGCGUAAAGCGUGCGCAGGCGGUUUUGUAAGUCUGAUGUGAAAUCCCCGGGCUCAACCUGGGAAUUGCAUUGGAGACUGCAAGGCUAGAAUCUGGCAGAGGGGGGUAGAAUUCCACGUGUAGCAGUGAAAUGCGUAGAUAUGUGGAGGAACACCGAUGGCGAAGGCAGCCCCCUGGGUCAAGAUUGACGCUCAUGCACGAAAGCGUGGGGAGCAAACAGGAUUAGAUACCCUGGUAGUCCC